Molecule: long non-coding RNA, 315 nt
Filed under: Nicotiana tabacum (common tobacco)
Lineage: Eukaryota; Viridiplantae; Streptophyta; Magnoliopsida; Solanales; Solanaceae
Description: long non-coding RNA (NTAB_LNC015727)
Source: RNAcentral
AAUAUUGCCAUUGCUCUUCACAUUUUUCCUCCUAGGAUAAAAAGUCCUAAUCUGAUGGAUUUUCUCCCAAUAAAAAUCUUAGUCUGAUGAAUUUUUCUCCUAAGAUAGAAAACCUAGUCUGAUGAAUUUUCUCCUAGGAUAGAAAUCUUAGUCUGAUGAAUCUUUCUCCUAAGAUAACAAAAAAAGACCUAGUCCGAUAAAUUUUAUCCUAAGAUCGAAAUCUUAGUCUGAUGAAUCUUUCUCCUGAGAUAGAAGACCUAGUCUGAUGAAUUUUCUCCUAGGAUAGAAAUCUUAGUCUGAUGAAUCUUUCUCCUA